This 18-nucleotide small RNA is filed under the name Arabidopsis thaliana (thale cress). RNAcentral describes it as "ATSL129440". The record is from RNAcentral. Lineage: Eukaryota; Viridiplantae; Streptophyta; Magnoliopsida; Brassicales; Brassicaceae.
UUUUCUUUCUUUCUUUUU